This 1109-nucleotide long non-coding RNA is filed under the name Numida meleagris (helmeted guineafowl). RNAcentral's name for it is "lncRNA (ENSNMEG00000013763.1)". The record is from RNAcentral. Lineage: Eukaryota; Metazoa; Chordata; Aves; Galliformes; Numididae.
CGGCCCCGCCGCCACCGCUCCCACGCCGCCACCUCACACUCGCCGCUGCCGCGCCGCUCCGCCUGCCGACUCUUCUCCCGCUUCUUUCUCGCCGCCUUCUCCUCCUCCGGCUCCGGCUCCGCGGCCGCUGCCGACCGCUCCCGCCGCCCCUCCGCUUCGCUGCAGCACCGCUCCGCACCGCGGGGACGCUCGCUCGCUCGCUCGCGGCCCGCCCGGACGCCGACCCAGCCAGCGAGCGAGCGAGCGAGCGAGCGAGCCGGGCCGCAGCGGGCGGGGCUGGCUGCAGCGCUCCGCUUCUUCCUCUCCUCCGUGGUGAACAGCGGCGCCCGCAGCCGCCGCCCGGCACUGCACGCACGGCUCCACUCAGCGCCGCCGCUGCCUCCAACGCGCCAACCGCCGGCACCCGCACAACCGCCCCACUCUGCACUCUCGCAGCAAUUUCAUGUUGUCGUCCGCAUUUAGCUUCCUGCAGUCCUUCUCUUCUUGCACGUGACGACACGAUCCUUUCUGUUCUUCCAUGGUGUUGCUGAUCAGAGAGAUAUCUGAGGGCUCCUCUGGUAAUCUUUAUUCUGGUGUGCUGGAUGUGUUGUCCUUGUUCUUUUCAUCUCUGUGUAGUUCUGAGUCUGCAUAAAGUCUGUCUCAAGCACCACUGCAGUCCUUCCUGAAACUGCAUUUUCCUCUGUAUUCUCCAUACAGUAUUUAAUAUUCUACGUAUGCUUAUAACUUGGUCUUUUCAUUUCAAUAUCAGUUUUCUAUGAGAUGCUGUUUCCUGGCGUCCAUCUCACUCGAAAAUAGAAUCUCUUGCCCAUCUCCAGCUGCUGCAGGAAGACACAGUCCCAAAUGAAACAUUCCCUGCUACCAAAGUGCUCCUAUUAACUGGCAGCUCCUCUUAGCACUCUGAGCUGGUUGUGCACCCACACUACAAUCCUUCUUCAGAGUAAGGAAGCAGAUGGUAUUAGCCUGCAUUUAGUUCCCUUAUAUCCUCCUCUUCUCGGAAUAUGAAAGUUCAUGUUUUCUUUUCUUCAAAGCAGUCCUUACCAGAGAGAACACACCUCUGUGCAUGUGUAUUUCCAAUGCAUGACAAAAUAAAUUGAAAACGGUGUCCUACA